This is a long non-coding RNA of Drosophila subobscura, 129 nucleotides long. RefSeq lists it as uncharacterized. NCBI's taxonomy places the organism in Eukaryota, Metazoa, Arthropoda, Insecta, Diptera, Drosophilidae. The transcript is spliced from 4 exons. The record is from RefSeq and is a predicted model, not a curated record.
UACAAGUACAAAAAAAAAGGGAGAAAAAGAGGGAGAGGUACGUUUGUGUCGACAUCUAAACCUCUUCUCAAGGACCUCACGAAUGCAGCAUGUAUACAUAUGUUGACUUUAUUUUUGGGAAAAGGAACA